UUCUCUUCCUCUCUGCCCCUCCUCCACUCACGUGCUCUCUCUCAAAUAAAAGAUAAAAAGCACAUAACCUUUAAGAAAAAACACAGCCUUGAACGGCCAUACUAUUAAGAAUAAGGGAACUCAUCUAAGUUUAUAAAGGAAUUGAUUUUGACAAGAGUAGAACUGACAAGAGUAAUACUUAAUGUAUUACAUAAAAGAUACAAAAUUGAAUUUUUACCCUAUUUGAAACUAUGAAAAUCACACAGAAAACAAUUUGGCAGUUCCAGGCAAAGUUAAACACAGAGUGACCGUAUGGUCCAGUAAUUCUAUUCCUGGUUGUAUCUGAAAACGUGUUUGCACAAAAACUUGCACCUGAGCGGUCACUGCAGUGUUGUUCAUAAUAGUCCUAAAGUGGAGACAACCCAAAUGUCCGUGACCAAAUGAGUAGAUAAGCCAGAUGUGGAGGAUUAUCUGACCAUAAAAAGGAAUGAAGUGCUGAUACCCACUUCACCAUGGAGGAACCUUAAAAACAGUAUGUUAAGUGAAAGAAGCCAAACGCAAAGGGCCAUAUAAUAUAUGACUACCUUUGCAUGAAAUGUCCAGGACCGCCAAAUCCAGAGAGGAGACCUGUGCUGUCAGGCUGAAGGGGAUACAGGUCACUGAAUCCAAGGCCACCUGUGGAGGGAAGAGUUGAGAUGUCAGUGAGAACCUCCAGCACUUCCAGAAGGAAGUGGCCCUGCUGACUGACACCUUGACUUUGGCCCCAGUGAAGCUGAUCUGGCACUUCUGGCCUUCGGAAGUGUAACAGACUAGACCGGCAUCAUUUGAAGUCCCUGAGUUUGUGAUGCUAAUCUCAGUUUUAUGAGUAACAAGUUGGACAAAUCACAGACACCUGGGUACUUCACCUUCUAAGAUUAGUGACCGCUCAGGCCCCAUCGGACGCAAUCGUUACCAACGCCUUUGACCCUGAGGCCCUGCUGUUGGAGGUCCUCCGUUCGACUAGGCAACAUUCGUACCCUCCUAACUCAAUCCUGGGCUCAAGGCCUCAAUGACAGGGUCCCUCACUGGUGGUAACUGCCAUGUGACCGGCCGGCUGCCCGGAAUCCUGCUUUGUUUUCACUCUCAACGCCUUUGCCAACUCGUCUCGGCCGUAAGCUCCCAGGAACCAUUCCUGACCAUCUCUGUAUAACCACCACCCUGUCCUGUCCAGCCCCGCCAUCCCUGCCAGCUCUCACUCCCACACUUUGUGCUAUGUGGGCACUUCGCAGUGAGUCCAAAGCCACUGGGGCAGGGUUAAGAGCAGAACCUAUGGCAGUGACUGACUAGUCAUCACCAGAUUGACCCAGGGUCAAUUUUGGCGGCCUCUUCCUUAGCAGUCAGCUUAGCAGUGAAGGUCUGGCACAUGCUGCCAUAGCACAGGCUUCAAUAAGUGGCUAAUGAAGAAAUGAAUAAAAGAGCUAUUUCAACAUA
This is a long non-coding RNA of Herpailurus yagouaroundi (jaguarundi), 1449 nucleotides long. RefSeq lists it as uncharacterized. NCBI's taxonomy places the organism in Eukaryota, Metazoa, Chordata, Mammalia, Carnivora, Felidae. The transcript is spliced from 5 exons. The record is from RefSeq and is a predicted model, not a curated record.